RNAcentral lists this ribosomal RNA (440 nucleotides) under uncultured bacterium. Its description in RNAcentral is "bacterial SSU rRNA". It matches the Rfam family "Bacterial small subunit ribosomal RNA", at positions 344 to 777 of the family's 1533-position model. The record is from RNAcentral.
GGAGGCAGCAGUAAGGAAUAUUGGUCAAUGGAGGGGAACUCUGAACCAGCCAUGCCGCGUGAAGGAUGACGGCCCUCUGGGUUGUAAACUUCUUUUGGAUGGGGCGAAAAAACGGGAUUUAUCCUGGACUGACGGUACCAUCAGAAUAAGCACCGGCUAACUCCGUGCCAGCAGCCGCGGUAAUACGGAGGGUGCAAGCGUUAUCCGGAAUCACUGGGUUUAAAAGGGUGCGUAGGCGGUUGUAUAAGUCAGGGGUGAAAGGAUGCAGCUUAACUGUAUAAUUGCCUUUGAUACUGUAUGACUUGAAUAAGGUUGAGGUUGGCGGAAUGUGACAUGUAGCGGUGAAAUGUCUUAGAUAUGUCAUGGAACACCGAUUGCGAAGGCAGCUGACUGGGCCGUUUAUUGACGCUGAGGCACGAAAGCGUGGGUAGCGAACAGGA